GCCAGCAUUAUGUAGUGGUUUGAACAAUGGACUACCACUCUGGAGAUCAGGGUUCGAUUCCCUGCUCAGCCA
This is a non-coding RNA of Phrynosoma platyrhinos (Desert horned lizard), 72 nucleotides long. The record is from the annotation of a GenBank genome assembly. NCBI's taxonomy places the organism in Eukaryota, Metazoa, Chordata, Lepidosauria, Squamata, Phrynosomatidae.